RNAcentral lists this ribosomal RNA (497 nucleotides) under uncultured bacterium. Its description in RNAcentral is "partial 16S ribosomal RNA". It matches the Rfam family "Bacterial small subunit ribosomal RNA", at positions 28 to 507 of the family's 1533-position model. The record is from RNAcentral.
GAUGAACGCUGGCGGCGUGCCUAAUACAUGCAAGUCGAGCGAACAGACGAGGAGCUUGCUCCUCUGACGUUAGCGGCGGACGGGUGAGUAACACGUGGAUAACCUACCUAUAAGACUGGGAUAACUUCGGGAAACCGGAGCUAAUACCGGAUAACAUGUUGAACCGCAUGGUUCAACAGUGAAAGACGGUUUUGCUGUCACUUAUAGAUGGAUCCGCGCCGCAUUAGCUAGUUGGUAAGGUAACGGCUUACCAAGGCAACGAUGCGUAGCCGACCUGAGAGGGUGAUCGGCCACACUGGAACUGAGACACGGUCCAGGCUCCUACGGGAGGCAGCAGUAGGGAAUCUUCCGCAAUGGGCGAAAGCCUGACGGAGCAACGCCGCGUGAGUGAAGAAGGUCUUCGGAUCGUAAAACUCUGUUAUUAGGGAAGAACAAAUGUGUAAGUAACUAUGCACGUCUUGACGGUACCUAAUCAGAAAGCCACGGCUAACUACGUG